This is a long non-coding RNA of Hyaena hyaena (striped hyena), 1074 nucleotides long. RefSeq lists it as uncharacterized. The transcript has 4 exons. The record is from RefSeq and is a predicted model, not a curated record. NCBI's taxonomy places the organism in Eukaryota, Metazoa, Chordata, Mammalia, Carnivora, Hyaenidae.
UGCACCGUGAGCCCCGAACCCGGGUGCUGCGACUCCCUGCGCCCACCGCCAUUUCGCCCUGUCUGGCCGCAGCCCUCCCAGCCGACCCCCGCCGCUGCCCCCUGCCCCUGACAGCGCCCCUGAACCCCAAGCCACGUCCUCGCCCACCCGCGAAAUCCGUAAACCAGUCAGCACUCCACACACCCAGCCCCCGCUAAGGCCCCGGGUCCCAACGCCAACGACCAGCUUCAGCUUUUGCAGGGGGCUGGGGUGGAAAGUCAGAAGGGGCAACGCGGGUCGCCGGGCUCCCGGGAGGCCUGGGGCACCUGGCCGCUGAGCAGCGGCGUGUGAAGAAAAGCAGAAGAGGCAGGCUCUUCCAACCAAGUCACUGCAGGGUGUGGGGCUCAGACCAGGGGUGCUUGCGGGCCGGCCCAACUGAGGCAGGGCAAGGUUAAGGCCAGGGAAGAGGGCACGGGCUUCCCCGCAGGGCUCCUUCACGUGGUGGCCGCAGACCCGCAGACGGGCCGAAACCCAGCUCCGUCACAGAGUCGGGUCGGCUACCCAGGCGACAGGAGGGCUCAGCCUCUGGUCCCAGGCUGCGACAGCAGGGGGCUUUGGGACUUUUGUUUGUUUUUCUUUGGGGGAAAGACAGUAGGCAUGGACUGCCCAGUGCAGUGCCCAGCCGACAGCGGCUGCACACAGUCCCCUCUUCCCGGGCAGGCCUGGACCUUCAGAAAGAAGAUGGGACCAGAUGAGCUGACCACCUUGUGGGCCGGGUCAAGGCAAGCGUCAAAAGCGAAGAAGGAUGUGUCUUAGGGCCUCCUGGUGUGAGAACCUCCCUAAUGCAGCGCCCCACCCCCUCCCCGCGAAGCCUGGGGACUGGCUCCGUUACCAGAGGUGUCAUUUCCCAGCUGUCUGGGGGAGACUGAGAUGAUGGACGUUGCUGCAUUCACCUGCUUCUUCGGGGAUUGGCAGCCAAACCUCUGGGCCUUACUUCCAAGGCUCCUUCAAAAGACGUGGGGGGGGGGGGCAAGUUCAUUUCUGACGAGCACCUCUGGUGAUUCUGAUGUAGGCGGCACAGAGAAAAACUUCAAU